UACACUCCUACGGGAGGCAGCAGUGGGGAAUAUUGCACAAUGGGCGCAAGCCUGAUGCAGCGACGCCGCGUGGGGGAUGAAGGCCUUCGGGUUGUAAACUCCUUUCGCUAGGGACGAAGCUUUUUGUGACGGUACCUAGAUAAGAAGCACCGGCUAACUACGUGCCAGCAGCCGCGGUAAUACGUAGGGUGCGAGCGUUGUCCGGAAUUACUUGGCGUAAAGGGCUCGUAGGUGGUUUGUCGCGUCGUCUGUGAAAUUCUGGGGCUUAACUCCGGGCGUGCAGGCGAUACGGGCAUAACUUGAGUGCUGUAGGGGUAACUGGAAUUCCUGGUGUAGCGGUGAAAUGCGCAGAUAUCAGGAGGAACACCGAUGGCGAAGGCAGGUUACUGGGCAGUUACUGACGCUGAGGAGCGAAAGCAUGGGUAGCGAACAGGAUUAGAAACCCUGGUAGUCCCAU
Molecule: ribosomal RNA, 457 nt
Filed under: uncultured organism
Description: partial 16S ribosomal RNA
Rfam family: Bacterial small subunit ribosomal RNA
Source: RNAcentral